UACAGAGGUCCCAAGCGUUGUUCGGAUUCACUGGGCGUAAAGGGUGCGUAGGCGGUCGGGUAAGUCUGAUGUGAAAUCUCACAGCUUAACUGUGAAACUGCAUUGGAUACUAUCCGGCUAGAGGAAUGGAGGGGAGACUGGAAUACUUGGUGUAGCAGUGAAAUGCGUAGAGAUCCGGAGGAACACCGACGGCGUAGGCAGCGCCCUGGACGACACCUGACGCUGAGGCACGAAAGCUGGGGGAGCGAACAGG
This 253-nucleotide ribosomal RNA is filed under the name uncultured bacterium. RNAcentral's name for it is "partial 16S ribosomal RNA". It matches the Rfam family "Bacterial small subunit ribosomal RNA", at positions 524 to 776 of the family's 1533-position model. The record is from RNAcentral.